This is a long non-coding RNA of Alligator mississippiensis (American alligator), 1450 nucleotides long. RefSeq lists it as uncharacterized. Lineage: Eukaryota; Metazoa; Chordata; Crocodylia; Alligatoridae. The record is from RefSeq and is a predicted model, not a curated record. The transcript has 4 exons.
CCGUGGCAGCGCGGGCCCUCGCGGAGGUGCCAGGUCAGAAAACACCGGCCCAGCUCCUGCCCCUCCCCCGCCCCCGGGCGCGGUGCUGAGACUUGAAAAUUGCGCUGGGUCAGAGGAUUUCUCCGCUCCCCCCCCGCGCGCACACGCCCCGCGGAUCCGUCCCCUCGGCUGCGUGCCAGCAGCGCGUGCGUUUCGCUUCGCACCCUCCUCUCCGCCACGAACGAGUUUUGACCUUUCAAUAGAGAGCUGAUUCUGGAGAACAACUUACUUCUGUGAUUGAAAAAUUCUCUCUGAAAAGCUGAUGCAGUAUAAGUAUGGUACAUUCAUUUGGCACUCUGAAGAAGAGAUUAUUUUGGCAGUAUCUUCCCACCCCUUGACAAAAAGAUGAUACAUCUGACUCAGAACUGGAAAGGGAAAUCUGCCAGUUUACGUCAACUCCUAACUUGUGGGCUUCUGUUCACCACAAGGACAAUUGGGUGAACAGAAAUUACUUUGCCAGUAAUUCUUGGAAGAUGAGGAAGAAGAGUCAUCUCCAAAAAGACAUGUGGUGCCUCACACUGUAGGCCUGGGCCUUCUGUAUUUAUAGGAAAAACAUAGUAUAAUGUAAGGUGUUCUUACACUUAAUUUAAUUCGGAAACCAGCAAAUAAGAUUGUUCUAGAAUCUAAAGUUUAAAAUGGGGAGGAGCCACCUUGAGAUUUGUGAUGCAGAAUAAGAUCAAAAGAAUAUGCUUCCAUUCAAAAAUGCAAGAAAUCUAUUUUGAAGGUAAUAAGCUACCACGGAAUGGAAAUCCAAGUGAAUGUAAUUAAGAAUCGUCUUCCUAAAGAACAUCUGAAACUUCUGCUUCAAUGACAAAUUAAGAGCGCCAAGUACAAUACAUUCCCAAGAACAGCAAAAAUGACAAUUAUUGUUCCUCUGUUGUGGUCUAGUGAGCUUCUGUACCCAUGUCCUGGUUUGCUAAAUAUUUAGGUACAAAUAAUGUCUGGCCUUACCAUGUUUCAGGCACUUACUAAAAAGGAAGUAAUUGGUGUGAUUUCAUUGGGUCAUAAAAGAAAAAAAUAACACCAUUUAUCUCUGAUAUGGAUGGCUGUGUCCAAAAAGGCCAUCUUCUUUUAGAACGUAGAAGAAAUGCAUUGGUCUAGAGUCUGACAAGUUAAUGAAACACAGACUGGCUGGUUUUGCUUGGACUCUUAUGUCAUUGUACUAAUACCCUGGUCCUAGAAUCUCUAAAAGCCACGCCGAAAAAAAGACUUGACUCUUGGGCUUGAUUCAAUGUUCUUUGCUAAAGACCAAUUUUAUUUCAUCUUAGUUGUUUUAUAGAAGGACUAUAAAUAUCAAGUUCGUUCACUUGCAUAGCAUUUUGGGGGUAGGGAGGAAGAAUAUUCUGAAAGUCUGCUUUGCUUUUUUAGAAUUUUGAUCGGAUUCCAAUAAAGUAUCAAAUUAAAAGACCAA